UCCACCCAUCCAUCCAUCCAUCCAUCCAUCCAUCCACUCAUCUAUUCAUCCAUCCAUCCAUCCAUCCAUCCAUGAAUCCACACAUCCAUCCAUUUUAUUUAUUCAGUGGGCUUUGGGUUAGUUCGUAGCCUUAUACUUGGCUUUAAACUAAAGAUUUUUAUAGUUUGUCCUCAUUUUAAAUAGCUAAGUAAACGUGUUUGUGUGUGUGAUCAAUGUCUUCAUGCAUCCUGACGCUGGUGAAAAUGAUCCACGGGCCAAUUUGCAACCUUCAAUUGCAAUUAAAGAACAACAGAAGCGAUUGAUAAGUGCAUGCUAACUGUAUCAGCCUGUGUGCGCACACCACCUUGAGCUUUUCACAGUCAUCUCCUCUUAAACACCUCCAAACUGUCUUUCACUUUAUUAUCUCUUGUCAUUCUCUUUCCGUGUCUUUUCUUUGUGAGACGGGUGAGAAUGAGAGCUUUCUCUUUCUGUCUUUUCCAUAGGGACGUGACAGAUGAUCCAGAGGAGGCCGGAGUGGCUGAUUGAUCGUGGGAAGUCUUGCGCAUUCAUCUCUGUCGCUGCCGUUCGGCCGAUGGCCGCCUCUAAACCGCUCUCUCUCUCUCUCCAGCGCUGGGCUAAAAGGAAAAACAGACCAAACAUAUUGAUGACAUUAUCCUGCACUCCACAUUUUUGUCCAAUAAAAUGCUCUCUUGGAUGACAAUGCCCCUCCCCCUAAAUUUGAAAUAUGA
Long non-coding RNA from Ctenopharyngodon idella (grass carp), 728 nucleotides. RefSeq lists it as uncharacterized. The record is from RefSeq and is a predicted model, not a curated record. NCBI's taxonomy places the organism in Eukaryota, Metazoa, Chordata, Actinopteri, Cypriniformes, Xenocyprididae. The transcript has 2 exons.